Molecule: microRNA precursor, 60 nt
Filed under: Caenorhabditis elegans
Lineage: Eukaryota; Metazoa; Nematoda; Chromadorea; Rhabditida; Rhabditidae
Description: microRNA cel-mir-2218a precursor
Source: miRBase by way of RNAcentral
CAAACUACAAGUUUUAAGCCUCACCAAAAGUUGGGUGAGGCCAGAAUAGUGUAGUUUGUA